RNAcentral lists this ribosomal RNA (482 nucleotides) under uncultured bacterium. RNAcentral's name for it is "bacterial SSU rRNA". It matches the Rfam family "Bacterial small subunit ribosomal RNA", at positions 30 to 507 of the family's 1533-position model. The record is from RNAcentral.
AUUGAACGCUGGCGGCAUGCCUUACACAUGCAAGUCGAACGGUAACAGGUCUUCGGAUGCUGACGAGUGGCGAACGGGUGAGUAAUACAUCGGAACGUGCCCGAUCGUGGGGGAUAACGCAGCGAAAGCUGUGCUAAUACCGCAUACGAUCUACGGAUGAAAGCGGGGGAUCGCAAGACCUCGCGCGGACGGAGCGGCCGAUGGCAGAUUAGGUAGUUGGUGGGAUAAAAGCUUACCAAGCCGACGAUCUGUAGCUGGUCUGAGAGGACGACCAGCCACACUGGGACUGGGACACGGCCCAGACUCCUACGGGAGGCAGCAGUGGGGAAUUUUGGACAAUGGGCGCAAGCCUGAUCCAGCCAUGCCGCGUGCAGGAUGAAGGCCUUCGGGUUGUAAACUGCUUUUGUACGGAACGAAAAGACUCUUUCCAAUAAAGAGGGUCCAUGACGGUACCGUAAGAAUAAGCACCGGCUAACUACGUG